This 253-nucleotide ribosomal RNA is filed under the name uncultured bacterium. RNAcentral describes it as "partial 16S ribosomal RNA". It matches the Rfam family "Bacterial small subunit ribosomal RNA", at positions 524 to 776 of the family's 1533-position model. The record is from RNAcentral.
UACGAAGGGGGCUAGCGUUGCUCGGAAUCACUGGGCGUAAAGGGUGCGUAGGCGGCGGGGAAAGUCUGAUGUGAAAUCCUGGGGCUCAACCCUGGAACUGCAUUGGAUACUUCCUUGCUAGAGUACUGGAGAGGAAACUGGAAUUUACGGUGUAGCAGUGAAAUGCGUAGAGAUCGUAAGGAAGACCAGUGGCGAAGGCGAGUUUCUGGACAGUUACUGACGCUGAGGCACGAAGGCCAGGGGAGCAAACGGG